GUUGUUUCUUGAAGUCCUGUCAAGAAACCCAAGGCGCUGACUGUUAUAAGGGCAUUGAGAAUACUCGCAAGUAUAUAUUUUCGGAUUCAUUAUUGUAUUGGACUCAUCUGUCAUCUGCUUCCUCUUUUGAUUGAAGUCUGAAUUGUUCUCCAUGAAUUCUUCCUUAAUCUGUGCUCCCACAGGUGCCAUCAUGAGUCUCUCUCUAGAUCCAGGAGCUCCCAUAUUAAAGAAAUUGAGAUCAUGCGGUUUGCUUUCCUCUGCUUCAACAUUUGGUUCAUCUUCAACUCCUUCGACAUCGUAAUCACUUGUGUCACUGAUCAAAAGAGAUCCGCUCCCACAAAUCGACACAGGUGGGCAUUUAUCAGGAAACAAUUUCCUAGCCAAAGUUUCUUCCUGGUUUACAAUGGCCAACCAUGUAGCACUCUCCUUUGCAGUCAUCU
RNAcentral lists this unclassified non-coding RNA (440 nucleotides) under Hevea brasiliensis (rubber tree). Lineage: Eukaryota; Viridiplantae; Streptophyta; Magnoliopsida; Malpighiales; Euphorbiaceae. The record is from RNAcentral.